UACGAAGGGGGCUAGCGUUGUUCGGAAUCACUGGGCGUAAAGCGCACGUAGGCGGCUCUUUAAGUCAGGGGUGAAAUCCCGAGGCUCAACCUCGGAACUGCCUUUGAUACUGGGGAUCUCGAGUCCGGGAGAGGUGAGUGGAACUGCGAGUGUAGAGGUGAAAUUCGUAGAUAUUCGCAAGAACACCAGUGGCGAAGGCGGCUCACUGGCCCGAUACUGACGCUGAGGUGCGAAAGCGUGGGGAGCAAACAGG
RNAcentral lists this ribosomal RNA (253 nucleotides) under uncultured bacterium. Its description in RNAcentral is "partial 16S ribosomal RNA". It matches the Rfam family "Bacterial small subunit ribosomal RNA", at positions 524 to 776 of the family's 1533-position model. The record is from RNAcentral.